UACGUAGGUGGCGAGCGUUAUCCGGAAUUACUGGGCGUAAAGCGCACGCAGGCGGUCAAUUAAGUCAGAUGUGAAAUCCCCGGGCUUAACCUGGGAAUAGCAUUUCAGACUGGGAGUCUAGAGUACUUUAGGGAGGGGUAGAAUUCCACGUGUAGCGGUGAAAUGCGUAGAGAUGUGGAGGAAUACCGAAGGCGAAGGCAGCCCCUUGGGAAUGUACUGACGCUCAUGUGCGAAAGCGUGGGGAGCAAACAGG
RNAcentral lists this ribosomal RNA (253 nucleotides) under uncultured bacterium. RNAcentral's name for it is "partial 16S ribosomal RNA". It matches the Rfam family "Bacterial small subunit ribosomal RNA", at positions 524 to 776 of the family's 1533-position model. The record is from RNAcentral.